RNAcentral lists this ribosomal RNA (496 nucleotides) under uncultured bacterium. RNAcentral describes it as "partial 16S ribosomal RNA". It matches the Rfam family "Bacterial small subunit ribosomal RNA", at positions 28 to 506 of the family's 1533-position model. The record is from RNAcentral.
GAUGAACGCUGGCGGCGUGCCUAAUACAUGCAAGUCGAGCGAACGGACGAGAAGCUUGCUUCUCUGAUGUUGGCGGCGGACGGGUGAGUAACACGUGGAUAACCUACCUAUAAGACUGGGAUAACUUCGGGAAACCGGAGCUAAUACCGGAUAAUAUUUUGAACCGCAUGGUUCAAAAGUGAAAGACGGUCUUGCUGUCACUUAUAGAUGGAUCCGCGCUGCAUUAGCUAGUUGGUAAGGUAACGGCUUACCAAGGCAACGAUGCAUAGCCGACCUGAGAGGGUGAUCGGCCACACUGGAACUGAGACACGGUCCAGACUCCUACGGGAGGCAGCAGUAGGGAAUCUUCCGCAAUGGGCGAAAGCCUGACGGAGCAACGCCGCGUGAGUGAUGAAGGUCUUCGGAUCGUAAAACUCUGUUAUUAGGGAAGAACAUAUGUGUAAGUAACUGUGCACAUCUUGACGGUACCUAAUCAGAAAGCCACGGCUAACUACGU